GGAAAUCGAGUCAGGUCUUAUGGCCACCUCCCACCCGUGACUAUUGUACCUUGUUGCUUCGGCGGGCCCGCCAGCGUUGCUGGCCGCCGGGGGGCGACUCGCCCCCGGGCCCGUGCCCGCCGGAGACCCCAACAUGAACCCUGUUCUGAAAGCUUGCAGUCUGAGUGUGAUUCUUUGCAAUCAGUUAAAACUUUCAACAAUGGAUCUCUUGGUUCCGGCAUCGAUGAAGAACGCAGCGAAAUGCGAUAACUAAUGUGAAUUGCAGAAUUCAGUGAAUCAUCGAGUCUUUGAACGCACAUUGCGCCCCCUGGUAUUCCGGGGGGCAUGCCUGUCCGAGCGUCAUUGCUGCCCUCAAGCCCGGCUUGUGUGUUGGGCCCUCGUCCCCCGGCUCCCGGGGGACGGGCCCGAAAGGCAGCGGCGGCACCGCGUCCGGUCCUCGAGCGUAUGGGGCUUCGUCUUCCGCUCCGUAGGCCCGGCCGGCGCCCGCCGACGCAUUUAUUUGCAACUUGUUUUUUUCCAGGUUGACCUCGGAUCAGGUAGGGAUACCCGCUGAACUUAAGCAUAUCAAUAAGCGGAGGA
RNAcentral lists this ribosomal RNA (579 nucleotides) under Aspergillus terreus. Its description in RNAcentral is "eukaryotic LSU rRNA". The stretch from base 189 to 342 matches the Rfam family "5.8S ribosomal RNA". Lineage: Eukaryota; Fungi; Ascomycota; Eurotiomycetes; Eurotiales; Aspergillaceae. The record is from RNAcentral.